RNAcentral lists this unclassified non-coding RNA (2773 nucleotides) under Hevea brasiliensis (rubber tree). The record is from RNAcentral. Lineage: Eukaryota; Viridiplantae; Streptophyta; Magnoliopsida; Malpighiales; Euphorbiaceae.
CGCCUCUAAUUGAAUUGUGCGAAAGAAUUUUUGAAAGAUACAGAACCAUAGGCAAGAAAGAAAAGAGGAAGGCCAGUGAAUGGUUGUAAAACUACUCUAGCCCCAAAAAGCCGUUUAUUAUGAUGGAACAAAACAACUCCAUUUGCAAGCCACACAUUAGGACGCAAAACUAAAGCACAAGCUCUACAAAUUAACACUAUGCAGGGAAAAAAACUCAAACUCAGCCCUAUGUAAAUGUAAGGGAAAAACUAUGAUAAAACUGCAGCCACAAAUAAUGAGGUUAUUAUGAUGGAGCACCUAGAUAUGAGGCUAAUCGGAGUAUGUCGCUGAAUAUUCCUCCGGCGGUCACUUGAGCCCCAGCACCAGGACCGCGGACUAUUAGUGGCUGUUCCUUGUACCUUGUAGUAGUGAAAGCUAUGAUGUUGUCAGAACCUGAUAGCUGUGCAAAUGGAUGAUCUUUCUUAUACCUUCGCAACUCAACACGCCCUUCUUGCCUCACCGCAUCCACCACCCCAACAUACCUCAAGACAUCACCAGCAUCCUCUGCUUUUUGUCUUUCCUUAGCCAUGUCUUGGUCAAAUUGCGGUAACUGCUUCAUGAACGCCUCGGCAGAUGCACUGGCUCUCAAUGGUUCAGGCACAAGACUUUGAACAGGGAUAUCAGAAAGUUCUAAUUUCAAACCAGAUUCUCUUGCAAGAAUUAUCACCUUUCUGGCAACAUCCGUUCCAGAUAGAUCAUCCCUUGGAUCUGGCUCAGUAUAACCUGCCUGCUUUGCUUCUGCCACUACCUCACUAAAUGAUUGUGUGCCUAUGAAAUUGUUGAAAAUGUAACUCAAAGUUCCACUGAAAAUUCCUUCAAUUUGCAAUAUUUUAUCUCCAGUUUCAAGGAGACCUCGUAAAGUGCUAAUAAUUGGAAGACCAGCUCCAACAGUUGCUUCAUAAAAGUAAUGUGUAUAAGAUUGGCGCUGAAGAGCUCUCAGUUUUAAAUACUGAUCAAGUGGCCCUGAAUUUGCCUUCUUGUUUGGGGUUAUCACAUGAAUUCCUUUUCGCAACCAAUCAUGGUAACAGCUCGCAACAUUAGAGUCAGCUGUGCAAUCUACCAAAACAGUAUUUGGAAUAAAAUGGUUCCCAUGCACAUGGUGAGUGAAUUUCUCCAGGUCAGCUAUUUCACCAUUCUCCUUCAUAAGUUCUCUCCAUCUUGACAAAUCAAUUCCAACUUCACUCAAAAGCAUUCCCCUUGAGCCAGUGAUCCCCAUGACACGCAAAUCAAUGUUAAAUUCUUCCUUAAGGACUGCUGCCUGAUCUCGGAGCUGAUCAAGUAAUGUGCCACCAAUCAAACCAGGUCCAAUAAUUCCCAUAGCUAUUGUGGUUUUUGAAAGAUAAAACCUUGAGUGUACCGCCCUUAAAGCCCUUAUACAAUCUUCACGCUUGACUACGACAGUAAUAUUAUACUCAGAACAGCCUUGGGCUAUGGCACGGACAUUAAUACUUGCCUUAACUAGGGCAUUGAACAGAGUAGCACUGACUCCAGGAGUACUAGCCAUUUUCUGGCCAACUGCUGCUAAAAUGCUACAAUUUGGAACGAUGGCAACCUGGGAAAGGCGUCCAGCAUCCAAAGCUUGACGAAAUCUAGACUGCAAGACCUCUGCAACAGCUUUUACUUCCUUCUCGGGCACAGCAAAGCAUACCGAAUGCUCGCUACUAGCCUGCGAUAUCAUAAUGACAUUAGCACCAACAUCUUUCACAGCACUAAAAAUGGCACUAGCUGUGCCAGGAACACCAGCCAUUCCGGUUCCUUCAACAUUCACAAGGGCCACAUUGUCUAUCGUCGCAAAACCUUUGACAGGGGAGUCCAAUUUCUGGUCAUCUUCGCUCACAUUCAUAGCAGGCUGGCAGAUCAUUGUUCCAGGUGAAGCAAGGUUGAAAAUAUUCCUUAUCAAGAUAGGAAUAUCAUAAUGCAUAACAGGAAUAAUAGUGCGGGGAUGUAAAACAUUAGCUCCAAAAUACGACAUUUCCCAAGCCUCUUGAUAAGAUAAUGUCCUCAGUAUCACAGCCUCACUAACUUUUCUGGGGUCUGCACUGUAGACCCCAUUAACAUCAGUCCAAAUAGUGACUUGUCGAGCCCUCAAUAGAGCACCCAUUAUUGCUGCAGAGAAGUCACUUCCAUCCCGCUUCAAAGUAGUUGGAAUAUUCUGAGGUGUGCUGGCAACGAAACCAGUUGCAACUAUUGUCUUACAUGGAUUUCGAGAGAACCAUUCUUCAAGUCUUUUUUCAGAUUCCACAAAAUCAGGAUCAACUUGAUUAGAGCUGGUAGGAUUUACAAUAAGCACUUCUCUUGUAUCCAUCCAUUUACAAUCUAACCCGCUCUUUCUGACGACAUAUGAUAACAUCUGAGCAGACCAUAACUCUCCAUGUCCAACAACAAAAUCAGAAAAUGAUUCUGUUGCAUGACCAGCUAUGUAUAUUGCAUGAAGCAUGGCUUUGAGGUUAUUAACAUCAUCAUGUAACUGGGCCAGAAAACUAGCAAGAUCUUCCCCAUCAAGAAGAUCUGUUGCCGUUAAUCUAUGCUUCUCAAAAACAGCAUCAGCAGCAGCAAUAUAAGAAUCAUCUCGUGAUUGUGCCUUGUAGAUGAGGUCAUACAUCAUGUCUGUCACCUUUGACAUUGCCGACACAACCACCAAUUUCCCAUCUGAUCCAUCAUUAACAAUUACCUCAGCUACAUUCUUGAUUCUCUCAGAGGUUCCGACACAAGUACCACCAAACUUAUGGACUGA